GUGAAUCAUCAAAUCUUUGAACGCAUAUUGCACUCUCUGGUAUUCCGGAGAGUAUGCCUGUUUGAGGGUAAUUAAAAAGAAUCUUUAACCAAUUUUUUUGGUCCAAAGAAAUUGAGUUCUCCGGGUUUUUACCGGUAGCUUGAAAUAAAUGGUAAAUUCUCAUUUUAGUCGAGCCGCGUAAUAAUAUAAUUUGGCAAA
RNAcentral lists this unclassified non-coding RNA (198 nucleotides) under Ambisporaceae sp. RNAcentral's name for it is "partial contains 5.8S ribosomal RNA and internal transcribed spacer 2". The stretch from base 1 to 71 matches the Rfam family "5.8S ribosomal RNA", at positions 84 to 154 of the family's 154-position model. The record is from RNAcentral. Lineage: Eukaryota; Fungi; Glomeromycota; Glomeromycetes; Archaeosporales; Ambisporaceae.